AACGGGUGAGUAACACGUGGGUAACCUGCCCAUCAGAAGGGGAUAACACUUGGAAACAGGUGCUAAUACCGUAUGACAAUCGAAACCGCAUGGUUUCGGUUUGAAAGGCGCUUUUGCGUCACUGAUGGAUGGACCCGCGGUGCAUUAGCUAGUUGGUGAGGUAACGGCUCACCAAGGCAACGAUGCAUAGCCGACCUGAGAGGGUGAUCGGCCACAUUGGGACUGAGACACGGCCCAAACUCCUACGGGAGGCAGCAUG
RNAcentral lists this ribosomal RNA (259 nucleotides) under uncultured bacterium. RNAcentral describes it as "partial 16S ribosomal RNA". It matches the Rfam family "Bacterial small subunit ribosomal RNA", at positions 101 to 353 of the family's 1533-position model. The record is from RNAcentral.